GAUGAACGCUGGCGGCGUGGCUAAGGCAUGCAAGUCGUAAGCUAAUAGCAAUAUUGGCUUGGCAAACGGGAGCGGAACACAUUGGUAAUCUGCCCCGAGGACGAGGAUAAUCCUGCGAAAGUGGGAAUAAUACUCGAUAGUAGUGAGGGGACAAAAGUCAUUCUCACUUAAAGCAGCAAUGCACCUCGGGAGGAACCUAUGUCCUAUCAGCUAGUUGGUGAGGUAAUGGCUCACCAAGGCUAUGACGGGUACCGGGUGUGAGAGCAUGACCCGGCUCACUGGGACUGAGACACUGCCCAGACUCCUACGGGAGGCAGCAGUGGGGAAUUUUGGACAAUGGGCGCAAGCCUGAUCCAGCCAUGCCGCGUGAGUGAAGAAGGCC
RNAcentral lists this ribosomal RNA (382 nucleotides) under uncultured bacterium. RNAcentral describes it as "bacterial SSU rRNA". It matches the Rfam family "Bacterial small subunit ribosomal RNA", at positions 28 to 416 of the family's 1533-position model. The record is from RNAcentral.